Molecule: non-coding RNA, 71 nt
Organism: Danio rerio (zebrafish)
Lineage: Eukaryota; Metazoa; Chordata; Actinopteri; Cypriniformes; Danionidae
Source: Rfam
GCAUUAAUGGUUCAGUGGUAGAAUCCUUGCCUCCCACGCGAGAGACCCGGGUCCGAUUCUUGGCCAAUGCA